Molecule: ribosomal RNA, 468 nt
Filed under: uncultured bacterium
Lineage: Bacteria
Description: partial 16S ribosomal RNA
Rfam family: Bacterial small subunit ribosomal RNA
Source: RNAcentral
GACGAACGCUGGCGGCGUGCUUAACACAUGCAAGUCGAACGGAAAGGCCCUGCUUUUGUGGGGUGCCCGAGUGGCGAACGGGUGAGUAACACGUGAGUAACCUGCCCUUGACUUUGGGAUAACUUCAGGAAACUGGGGCUAAUACCGGAUAGGAGCUCCUGCUGCAUGGUGGGGGUUGGAAAGUUUCGGCGGUUGGGGAUGGACUCGCGGCUUAUCAGCUUGUUGGUGGGGUAGCGGCUUACCAAGGCUUUGACGGGUAGCCGGCCUGAGAGGGUGACCGGCCACAUUGGGACUGAGAUACGGCCCAGACUCCUACGGGAGGCAGCAGUGGGGAAUAUUGCACAAUGGGCGGAAGCCUGAUGCAGCAACGCCGCGUGCGGGAUGACGGCCUUCGGGUUGUAAACCGCUUUCGCCUGUGACGAAGCGUGAGUGACGGUAAUGGGUAAAGAAGCACCGGCUAACUACGUG